AGAGUUUGAUCCUGGCUCAGGACGAACGCUGGCGGCGUGCCUAACACAUGCAAGUCGAACGGAGAAUUAGCAAUAAUUCUUAGUGGCGAACGGGUGAGUAACGCGUAGAUAACCUGCCUUCUAGAUGGGGACAACACCGCGAAAGUGGUGCUAAUACCGAAUGUGUUAAGGAGUAAGCAUUUACUACUUAAGAAAGGUGG
RNAcentral lists this ribosomal RNA (200 nucleotides) under uncultured bacterium. Its description in RNAcentral is "partial 16S ribosomal RNA". It matches the Rfam family "Bacterial small subunit ribosomal RNA", at positions 8 to 210 of the family's 1533-position model. The record is from RNAcentral.